GAUGAACGCUGGCGGCGUGCCUAAUACAUGCAAGUCGAGCGAACAGACGAGAGUGCUUGCCCUCUCUGACGUUAGCGGCGGACGGGUGAGUAACACGUGGGUAACCUACCUAUAAGACUGGGAUAACUUCGGGAAACCGGAGCUAAUACCGGAUAAUAUUUAGCUUCGCAUGAAGCAAUAGUGAAAGACGGUUCUGCUGUCACUUAUAGAUGGACCCGCGGUGUAUUAGCUAGUUGGUGAGGUAACGGCUCACCAAGGCAACGAUACAUAGCCGACCUGAGAGGGUGAUCGGCCACACUGGGACUGAGACACGGCCCAGACUCCUACGGGAGGCAGCAGUAGGGAAUCUUCCGCAAUGGACGAAAGUCUGACGGAGCAAUGCCGCGUGAGUGAAGAAGGUUUUCGGAUCGUAAAACUCUGUUGUAAGGGAAGAACAAGUACGUUAGUAACUGAACGUACCUUGACGGUACCUUACCAGAAAGCCACGGCUAACUACGCG
Molecule: ribosomal RNA, 499 nt
Filed under: uncultured bacterium
Lineage: Bacteria
Description: partial 16S ribosomal RNA
Rfam family: Bacterial small subunit ribosomal RNA
Source: RNAcentral